AGAGUUUGAUCAUGGCUCAGGAUGAACGCUAGCUACAGGCUUAACACAUGCAAGUCGAGGGGAAACGACAUCGAAAGCUUGCUUUUGAUGGGCGUCGACCGGCGCACGGGUGAGUAACGCGUAUCCAACCUGCCCACCACUUGGGGAUAACCUUGCGAAAGUAAGACUAAUACCCAAUGACGUCUCUAGAAGACAUCUGAAAGAGAUUAAAGAUUUAUCGGUGAUGGGUGGGGAUGCGUCUGAUUAGCUUGUUGGCGGGGUAACGCCACAGGCGACGAUCAGUAGGGGUUCUGGAGAGGAAGGUCCCCAGAUUGGAACUGAGACACGGUCCAAACUCCUGCGGGAGCA
This 348-nucleotide ribosomal RNA is filed under the name uncultured bacterium. Its description in RNAcentral is "bacterial SSU rRNA". It matches the Rfam family "Bacterial small subunit ribosomal RNA", at positions 8 to 349 of the family's 1533-position model. The record is from RNAcentral.